AGCCUCACUGUAGAUGAAAAUGGGUACUGCUGUUCAUGGUGUCCAGAAAUGGUUGAUGUGCCCACCUUAAGACAUAGGUUUUGUAUCCAUCACAGUCAUUUUAUUGCAGUGGUGACAGUGAGACCUGUGACUUUU
Camelus dromedarius (Arabian camel) is the source of this 135-nucleotide small nucleolar RNA. The record is from Ensembl. NCBI's taxonomy places the organism in Eukaryota, Metazoa, Chordata, Mammalia, Artiodactyla, Camelidae.